AUUCGGUGAUCCUAUGCUGUCGAGAAAAGCCUCUAGUGAGUUGGUACACGGCCCGUACCCCAAACCGACACAGGUGGUCAGGUAGAGAAUACUAAGGCGAUCGAGAGAACUGUGGUUAAGGAACUCGGCAAAUUGCCCCCGUAACUUCGGGAGAAGGGGGACCACGGCUGGUGAUGGGCUUUUCGCCUGGAGCUGGUGGUGGUCGCAGAGACCAGAGAGAAGCGACUGUUUACUAGCAUGGUGACCGGAUUUACUCCGUGAGCUGUGUGGGGUCGCAGAGACCAGAGAGAAGCGACUGUUUACUAAAAACACAGGUCCAUGCGAAGUCGUAAGACGAUGUAUAUGGACUGACGCCUGCCCGGUGCUGGAAGGUUAAGAGGACCGGUUAGCCGUAAGGCGAAGCUGAGAAUUUAAGCCCCAGUAAACGGCGGUGGUAACUAUAACCAUCCUAAGGUAGCGAAAUUCCUUGUCGGGUAAGUUCCGACCUGCACGAAUGGCGUAACGACUUCUCUGCUGUCUCAACCACAGACUCGGCGAAAUUGCAGUACGAGUAAAGAUGCUCGUUACGCGCGGCAGGACGAAAAGACCCCGGGACCUUCACUAUAGCUUGGUAUUGGUGUUCGGUACGGUUUGUGUAGGAUAGGUGGGAGACUGUGAAGCUGGCACGCUAGUGUUGGUGGAGUCGUUGUUGAAAUACCACUCUGAUCGUAUUGGGCUUCUAACCUCGGACCCUGAUCGGGUUCAGGGACAGUGCCUGGUGGGUAGUUUAACUGGGGCGGUUGCCUCCCAAAGAGUAACGGAGGCGCCCAAAGGUUCCCUCAGCCUGGAUGGCAAUCAGGUGUUGAGUGCAAGUGCACAAGGGAGCUUGACUGCGAGACGUACAUGUCAAGCAGGGACGAAAGUCGGGACUAGUGAUCCGGCACCGGCAAGUGGAAGCGGUGUCGCUCAACGGAUAAAAGGUACCCCGGGGAUAACAGGCUGAUCUUCCCCAAGAGUCCAUAUCGACGGGAUGGUUUGGCACCUCGAUGUCGGCUCGUCGCAUCCUGGGGCUGGAGUAGGUCCCAAGGGUUGGGCUGUUCGCCCAUUAAAGCGGCACGCGAGCUGGGUUUAGAACGUCGUGAGACAGUUCGGUCUCUAUCCGCCGCGCGCGUAAGAAACUUGAGGAAGGCUGUCCCUAGUACGAGAGGACCGGGACGGACGAACCUCUGGUGUGCCAGUUGUUCCGCCAGGAGCACUGCUGGUUAGCUACGUUCGGAAGGGAUAACCGCUGAAAGCAUCUAAGCGGGAAGCCUGUUCCAAGAUGAGGUUUCUCACCCACCUUUGGUGGGGUAAGGCCCC
This 1338-nucleotide ribosomal RNA is filed under the name Olivierus martensii (Chinese scorpion). Its description in RNAcentral is "bacterial LSU rRNA". It matches the Rfam family "Bacterial large subunit ribosomal RNA", at positions 1589 to 2837 of the family's 2925-position model. Lineage: Eukaryota; Metazoa; Arthropoda; Arachnida; Scorpiones; Buthidae. The record is from RNAcentral.